AUGGAGGACGGGGGCUCCGUCACAGACCACUUCGACGGCGUUGAGUUCCGGUGGGCGUUCAUGGAGGCUGGCGGCGAUGACGGCAAUAGGGCCAAGGGCGGGGGUGAGACGCUAGAGCUCAGCUUCGACGCGGAGCACGCGGACACCGCUCUCGACAAGUACGUGCCCUUCAUCAGCUCCACAGCGGAGGAGCUGCGGCGCCAGGACCGCGCGCUCAAGAUCUUCAUGAACGACUACGGGUUUUGGCAAGGCAUGAAUCACCACCACCCGGCCUCGUUCGAAACGCUCGCCAUGGAUCCAGGGCUGAAGCAGGCCGUCCUGGACGACCUCGAUCGGUUCCUCAAGAGGAAAGAGUACUACCAGCGGAUCGGAAAGGCUUGGAAACGCGGCUACCUGCUCUACGGCCCCCCUGGCACCGGCAAGUCCAGCCUCGUGGCCGCCAUGGCCAACCACCUUCGUUUCAACCUCUACGACCUCGAUCUCUCCAGUGUGCACGACAACUCGUGCCUGCAGAAGCUUCUCAUCGACAUGUCCAACAAGUCCAUCCUCGUCAUCGAAGAUAUUGACUGCAGUUUCGACACCAUGUCGAGAGAAGAUCGCAAGGACCACCCCGACGAGGACGACGGACGAGACAACCAAUCGGGAGAUGAGCGCAAGAUGACGCUGUCGGGGCUGCUCAACUUCAUCGACGGGCUGUGGUCGACCAGCGGCGAGGAGCGCAUCAUCAUCUUCACCACCAACUACAAGGACCGCCUCGAUCCGGCGCUGCUGCGGCCGGGGCGCAUGGACAUGCACGUCUACAUGGGUUACUGCUGCUGGGAGGCAUUCAGGAAGCUGGCCUGGAACUAUCACCUCAUCGACGACCACCCUCUGUUCCCAGGGAUACAGGAAUCACUUGCAGGGGUGGAGGUAACGCCCGCCGAGGUGUCCGAGAUGCUGCUACGGAGCGAGGACGCCGAUGUUGCGCUACGGGUACUUCUGGAAUUCCUCCAAGAACGAAGAGGGGCAAUAAAAGAGUCAGAGGACAAGCACGAUGCGUAG
RNAcentral lists this ribosomal RNA (1041 nucleotides) under Triticum aestivum (bread wheat). RNAcentral's name for it is "partial small subunit ribosomal RNA". The record is from RNAcentral. Lineage: Eukaryota; Viridiplantae; Streptophyta; Magnoliopsida; Poales; Poaceae.